GCCCGCGGGUGCUGCUCCCGGCCGCCGCCGGCGGUGACGAGGUGGUAAAAACUCACGGUUACUAGUGAGCGACACACACAGACUUUCCAGUCUAUUAACCACCACGCCAGAGAGAUGGGGCUCUAACUGCACACACGGGGCAACGGCCCGCGCUGCCGGCGCUGCCGCUCUAGUCUCUAUCCGCCGCCGGUGGCUGAGGCGUGGGAGCGGGCGGGCGGCGGGCGGCGACGCGGGGAUUUGGACAGUGGCCGUAACGGUGAUUUCUCCUCACCAACAUGGCGGCACCCGAGACAAGAGGCUCGAGAAAAUGGCGCCGGCCGCAACACCUGAUCCGGGACUAGAGGGCAGGCGAGAUCCCUCCGCGCGCCUGGCUCUGGCCCCGCCCCCCCAGACCGAGGGCGGUGGCCAUUGGAUAAAACUGCCCGUCGAUCACCACCAGGGGCGGGGCUUCAGCCUUCUCAGUGCUUCGCGGAAGCAGCAUCCGGGUGGCUGCGCAAUGAGCUGACAGAGUUGGGUGGUCCGACGGAGGAGGUGGCGCGAGGUUCGCGGACCUGGGUGCCUGGCUCGCCUGGGUGCCCGGCUCUCCUGGGUCGCGGGGUGCCGCAUACGUCCGCCCAGGCCGAGCAGCUGCGGUUGCACAGAUCCCCCGAGCCAUCAGCCGGCGUAGGAAUAGGGAACGCUGGCUCUGGAGGCCGCUUUUUAUAAAGAAACCCUUUGUGGCUGAAAUAACGGAGAAAAGACCCUUCUCCUCCCAAGUCGGGGCGAUCGCUUCCGCAGCGAUCAGUGCGCAGUCGCGUCUUAGGGAAGCCAGCUUGACUGGCCACUGUUCCGAUGUUGGAUGUUUCCGAUGUUUACCCCAUCAUCACUCGAUAAUAAAAUAGAUUUAGGAUAAUUGCAAAAUUUCUUCCUUUGAUAAGAAAGUAUGUAAAAUAUAUGUGAAUAUUUCAUAACGAGGCAUUACAGUUUAUAUGUAGGAGUGUGCACUCAGAAAUAGUGUUUAAAUGACGAGUCAGUGUUUUGACCUAUUUAAUGUAGCAUACUACUUGGAUCUAAAGGAACAUUCCUUGCUUUUUAUUAAAAUGAUGGACUUGGUUAAUCUUCCCAAAUAUCUGACUUCCCUCAUCUUCCCUAGUGGCAUGCGUUCAGAAAAAAUCUUGGAAUUAGUAGAUUAAACUUGAACUUCGGGAUAGGUACAUAGAAAGGAGAAAAGAAAGAAAUCGCCUAUUCUUUUUUCUUUCUCUUUUUUUUUUAAGUUGAACGCACAGUUGACAAAGGCUGAACUCUAAUAAUUCUGCAAGCAGUUGCCGCAUUUGCCCAUAAUACAUAAUAGCCUCCAUAAUGCAUUUAUAGAAAACUUUUAAAAAACAAAUGCAUUUUGUCUUGAGAAACAAUGUUAGUAUUUGGAGUUACAAAGCAUUGUCAGGGCCCUUUUGUAACUAUUUUAGUGAAUUUAGGUCUAAUUGUAACCAUAAAUAGUACAGCUGAUUUCUUUGCAGUCAUCCAAAGGCCUUUGAGAUCCCAGCACAAACAGUGUAUUCAAAGGAACAAGUGAAGAGACUUAAACUUUGAAACCAUUUGCAGUGGCAUGGUCAGCUACAAGUGAGUCAGAAGGGACAGAGAAGCAACCAGUCUUCCAGCCCUGAGCCUGAAGGGGUUACAGAAGGCCUUGUUACCAGGACCUGAAGAUAGCUGGGGUUGUGGGGAGGUGCUGUUUGAUAAGCCCUGUGGCAUCGGGUAAAGACAAGUAACCACUGCCAAACUAAGGCUUUUCAGAGCACAGAAGUUAUAGAAGUAGUCUGCUUUUCCAGUCUCCUGACUGCUGCCAUUGGCUGGAUCCAACUGGAAGUCCCAGAGAAAGGGAGAGGGGCGUGAGUCUCUAUGGAUACAAGAAGGAUGGAGGAGAGUAAAUCUGACAGGCAAAUGGAGAAUAUGCAGUGAAAUCCAUUAACACUACAAAUUACACUUAUAAAUUUCUUAAUAUUAAGGCUUAAAAAGUUUGUGUUCAUGAGAUAAAUCUAAUUUGUGCAUUCUUUGAUUCAUUUGUGUUUAUUGGUACUAGUGAUUGAACCCAGGAGCAUUUAACCACUGAGCUACAUCAGAUAAGUUGCUCAGGGUCUUGCUGAGUUGCUAAGGCUGGCUUCCAUCCUUCUGCCUAAGUCUUCCAUGUUGCUGGAAUUACUACAGGUAUUGCCACUGCACCUGGCUUACUUUGUUAUUUAUUUUAAAAUUUUGUUUGAUUUUAUUUGUUACUGUUUUGCUUAUAUUUUUCUUGUAUAUUCAUGAGUGAAAUAGGGCUGUCAUUUUCCUUUAAUGUUUUUUACUUCAUUGUCAGGGUUAUACUGGCUUUGUAAAAUGGGUUUAGGAAUUUUCCUUUUUAUUAUUAUUACCUGAAAGAGUCUAUAAAGCUGGAAUAUUCCAGUCCUUCAAACUUUAGAAGAAUAUGUUUUAAACAAUCUGAACAUGGCAUCCUCUUUCUGGAAAGAUUUUUCAAACCAGUGCUUCUGUUCUUUUACUAGUUAUAGGACUAUUCAAGCUUUUUUAUUUUUUCUUGCAUCAGUUUUAAGAAAGAGCUGUUUAGAAUUCAGAAUUUAAUACAAACUAUAGAAUUAUCAAAUUCUACAAACAAAUCUUGUUGAUAUAUAUUCAUUUUAUCUAAAUUUUCUAAGAAUUUUCACAUGCCAUGUAAGAUUUCAAAUAUAGUUUGCUAGUAUUUUAUUAUUAGCCUUUUAAUAUUUAUUAAUUUGUAGUUAUACCACCUUUUUGUUGUAAUUUUAAUUAAUAUAAUCAGGGGAUUAUCUGUUUUGUUGAUGGGUUUUUUAAAGGAAUUCAGGUUCGACUGUAUGUCAUUAUUUUCUGCCCUUAUUUUUAUUGUUCCUAAUUCAUUAAUUUCCACUUUUAUUUAUAUUAUAUCUUUGCUCUUGCUUUCUUUGGGAUUAUUUUCUUUCCUAACUUUAAUCCUUAAUUUUGGUGCAUCUUUUCUAUGAUAAGCUUUUCAGGCUAUAAACUACUCUUGGCUAACUGCUUCAGCUGAAUUCCCACUUUCAUUUUAUUGUCUCAGUUAUUUUAUAACUUUAUAAUUUAUUUUUAACCCAUGAGCUACUGAGCAGUGUUAACUUCUAGCUUAACUAAUUCAUGUUGUGUGCUCAUAAAUCAUGGUCUGUAUAAUAUGUGUGUUUUCCUUUAAUGUUUUUUACUUCAUUGUCAGGGUUAUGCUGGCUUUGUAAAAUGGUAUGUAGUAAAGAAUGUAGUAAAGAAAAUGUAAUUGUCUCAUUAUUGGAUGCAGAACUUCUCGUAGCCCAUUAGGUCAACACUGUUAGUUGCAAAGUUGUUAUUUUUUAUAUUAUUGCAAAUAUUUAUAAUCAAGUAAAACACAUUGAAAUCCCUCACCAUGAUGCUGAGUUUAUCCAUUUCUUCUAUCAUCUAUCAUGUUUUGCUUCAUAUAAGGAUAUUUUAUUAGGUACAUUAAUGUCUACAGUUGUUUUAUCUUCUUGGCAAACUGUGCAGCAGCUUUCUGUAUUUCCUAUCAUGCUGUCUGCCCUAAUGUCUUUGUCUUCUCAUAUAUCCAUAGAGCUACAGAACCCUUUUUUAGCUUUUGCAUGACAGGUGCAAAAAGCCCCCUGGUCCUCACAGCAUUGGCAAGCCUGAGCUCGGUGCUACCCUGACUUUUGUCUGAAGGACACUGUGCCAGGUGUGGGUUCCUGUUGGUCCAAGACAAUGGCGGGAAAGCAGGACAAUGGUAGGGAAGCAGGCCCAGGACACUAACUCUUAUGAAUUUGUCCUCUAAAAUUCAUGUUCUGGACACUUGGUCCCCAGUGCAACAGUGUUGAGAGGUGGGGCCUGAUGGGGAGUGUUUAGGUCCCAGGCUCUGCUCUAGGACAAGGACUUGCCAGAGUGGGUUUUCUCUUCUGUUCUUCUGUCAAAUGAGGACAUGGAGUUUGCCUUCUCCUGCCUUCCACCUCUGCUAUGUAAGGACACAAGAAGAAAGCCCUCACCAGACCAGAUGUUGGCUCCCUGGUCUUGGGCAUCUCAGCCUGCAGAACUGUGAAAAAAUAAAUUCCUGUUCUUUAUAAAUUA
Molecule: long non-coding RNA, 4074 nt
Organism: Ictidomys tridecemlineatus (thirteen-lined ground squirrel)
Lineage: Eukaryota; Metazoa; Chordata; Mammalia; Rodentia; Sciuridae
Source: RefSeq, a predicted model, not a curated record